This 553-nucleotide long non-coding RNA is filed under the name Canis lupus familiaris (dog). Its description in RNAcentral is "lncRNA (ENSCAFG00000037043.3, ENSCAFG00845024636.1)". The record is from RNAcentral. Lineage: Eukaryota; Metazoa; Chordata; Mammalia; Carnivora; Canidae.
UCAAAACCACAGCAAGGCUGCCCAAAGCGAUGUCUUCAACAGGAGGGAGGUGUUGGUCCAGAAACAGUAAAGCUAAUUUUUGUUGAGGGCUUGUUAAUGAGACAACAUGCUGAGCAUCAUCUUGUAUCAUCUUCACCUUAACCACAGAAGACACUAACAUCACUGUCUCCUUUCUGCAGGUGAGGAGCUCAAAGCAUAAAGAGAGGAAGUCACUUGUUUCAGCUCUCAGGGUCCAGGAGCCUGUCUGACUCCAGAGGGGACUCAUGCCUGGGCUUCCUGUCUCCAGGGAAUCUGGACAGAGCGGUGGAAAUUUCAGGUGGCACUUGGGCCAGGGAGGAUCUCCACGCCUUUCCUCACACCGAGCUGUCUGGCCCUUGGGGAGUUAACUUCACAGAUAGGGCCUUGCUCCCAGAAGACAGUUGAAUGUGCCUAUAGAUCACCUCUCAGGGACAGCCAUUUUUCCCAAGACAGGAAUAUCAUCUUCAGCACCUGUCACCAUAUGGGACAUAGAGGAAGCUCUCCCUCCUGUUUCCAAGAAAAGAAAAAUUAUUGA